CAGUUGGGCAGUCCAGCCCCAUGCUGGGUUGGAUGCUGGUGCUGAGCCUGCCCUUCUCCCUGCCACACCCCUGGGCAGCAACGACGGCCAAGGUAAAUCUCAGCCGUUUUUACCAGCCUAAAUGGC
This is a long non-coding RNA of Sphaerodactylus townsendi, 126 nucleotides long. RefSeq lists it as uncharacterized. The transcript is spliced from 3 exons. The record is from RefSeq and is a predicted model, not a curated record. Lineage: Eukaryota; Metazoa; Chordata; Lepidosauria; Squamata; Sphaerodactylidae.